AGUGCUGGUUUUUGGAUAUGAAUUUGUCAUUAAGACUACCUGGGCUGACUCUCUUUUCGGACUCAGCCCACCUGCACCCAGGUGAAAUAAACAGCUUUAUUGCUCACACAAAGCCUGUUUGGUGGUCUCUUCACAUGGACGCGCAUGAAAUUUGGUGCCGUGACUCGGAUCGGGGGACCUCCCUUGGGAGAUCAAUCCCCUGUCCUCCUGCUCUUUGCUCCGUGAGAAACAUCCACCUAUGGCCUCAGGUCCUCAGACCGACCAGCCCAAGAAACAUCUCACCAAUUUCAAAUCCGAAUCUGACUUUUGUCUUUAUGGCUAAAGAAGCAGUGCUGUAUCCCACAGUAGUACAAAGGGCAAAAGAUGAGUGCCAGAGAUGGCAUCUUCAGCACGAACGCUGGCUGUGAGGACUUUGGAUGGAAGAACAGAAGAGGAGAAUGCUAGGAAUUCCCUGUACAACUGGAAAGAAGAGUGCUCAGCACAGCAUGGGGCUGAAGCCUAAGUACAACAAUAAUGAGUUAGACUUGGUUCUCAUGGAACCAACAGGCCACUUACUCCUUUAGCUGCUUGGUUAACUUCACCACUUGAGAGGCCAGCGACAUGCAGGUCUCCACCACCACCAGGUACCUGGAGCACAGGGUGUGCCCCUGCCGCUCGGCGCUCUGGGAGGGCUUUUCCCCAGCGUGGUUCUGCAUGGUGACAUUUGCUCCAUAUUCAACCAAGGUCUGUCAGAAAAUGAAGGACAUGUGUAUCAGGACAUCUCUGUACACAUUAUUUUUUAAUGACUGUAACAGAAUGUUGAAUAGUAUGAAGAGAGCCUCUAGGGACCUUUCAGCAGUCAAUAUCACACACCUCCCUUCAGAGUCUAUGAUGAUGUAGCAGAGCCAGUCCUACUACUAUCAAUGCUCAUCUGCAGCCCACAUAAGGAGGGGGCUGGGAAGGAGAGGAGGAGGCUGUCCAUAGUGUGCUCUCCUUUAUGAGAUAUGCAGUGCAGUCUUUGUGGUGGGGAGUUCUGUCUCUUGUCAUGGUUGGGCUCCAAGAGAAUCACUCAUAGUCAGAGAUGCCUGUAAGAGGGGGAGACUGGAAUCUUACCUGUUCUCAUUUGCUUGGGCUCUAGUAACUGGAUUUGGUCUCUGGUAAUUGGUUUUGAAAUAACACCUGUUUAUUUGUUGCUGCGCCAACCUGAUCAGGAAUAAAAAGAACUGGAAAGAAAUGACAUGGCUGAGAGUGGGGAGGCUGUGAAGCAGCUCCCACCCUCCCACAAUGGGCUAUGGUGAGGACAUGUCUGUGGAUUGAGCAGGCUUUGUAGAAGAAAGCUUUGUGUGAGCUUCUUAUCACCUCUUUAAUGAGGAGAGGGUUCUAUGGCUACAAUUGGCAAUAGGCUGCCCCAGAGGUGGAGAGAACUGUAUGGGGGAGGAGGGGAAGGCUCCAGAGGGCCCUCUGAAGACCCCAACCAUGGCACUCACUGGAGAGUCAGCAUCUGAAGGUUGGCACAGAGGGCAUCAGUGACCACAGCCAGCCAAAGAAGCAGGGACAACUUUCAGGGAGGUUGCAUGCCUUUCCCAGUUAAGCAAAGAGAUACCGGACUUUUUCUCUUCAUACCUCCUUCUUGUCCUUGACACUGCAGCCCAGAAGAGAUAGGGGGAUAGGAGCUAAAGUGGUGUGUAAAAAGGCAUGUCUCACUCCCAUUCCAAGUCCCUUGAAUCUUGAGUCUAGUCUGGGUGGGAAGGAGAAUGCUUUGAAUCAGAAGUAAGACUGAGAUUUUAAAGAGGCUUGGAGUAAAUUUUAAUAGUCAUAAGAAAGGAGAAAGUUACGGAAUCUGGCCAAGGUAUCAUUAGUUGUGGAGAGAGAGAAAUUUGAUGGAACAUGGUUGAAAUUAAUAAUUUAAAAAAAUCCAAACUAUUUUGUGUCCAUACUGUGAUAUUAUUAGAUUCCACAAAAAGUUAUUACAUCAAUAUUAAUCAACCACUACAAUCUGAUAGAUUCUUUGACAAUAUCAUGAUGAGACUGCAAACCUGGAUUAAUCUGGGUAGUAGACAGUGUUUUCCCCUAAGCAAUAGUUGUAGUAUUUAAAUUUUUAGACUACUUAGACUGAGAGGUCAGUAAGGAGCUUCGUUUUCCUUUUGGUUUAUGAUCACUCACCAUGAAAGGUCAACUCACCACAAAGCCAUUGCCACCUACCUCACAGGAGUGUCACAGAGACCAUGUCAGUAUUGAGCUCUCAGGGCUCUUGAAGAGAUGCUAUAUAAACACACACUGUUAUUACUCCCCCUUGGCCCUGACCUCUGCAGUUUUCUUUCCAUUGUUUUCCUUACUCAGUCCCCUCCUCACCUCAUAGGGUCCCUUGCUCACUCUCGGUCUCUUAUCUUUUUUUUUCUUUAAAUUUCACACCCAGUGGACAGAUCCCCUUCCAAGAUUAUCCAAGUUUCCACUUCCAUGGUACCCAGUGCCAAAAAUAUCAUUUGUGUGUAAGUGGAGUGAUGAACGCUCUAAAAGCAAAGACUGUCUCUCUUCACAUAUUAAAAAGAAAAAUAACUAAAAUCUCACGUAGUGAUAUCAGCUGGCUUUCUUUGGCUUUAGUCAUUUCUUAGCUGCUUAAAAGUUUGUUUCAAGACUAUUAAAUAUUAGAGUGUUUUGUUAAAUAGAAAAGCAUAUUUUUCAAUGUUUAUUCAAUCAUAUUUCCUUUACAAAAAAAUGCUACUCCUUUAAUAUUUCUGCAGAACCUGUUAAGAAUUUAAAUUUCUCUCCUAUACUCUCCAAUUUCAUAUCACUCUUUUAAAAACUUGAUGCCUUAAAUUAGAAGAUGCACACUUUGCCAACAAUAAUAGAAAAACUUUCAGCUCUCCGGACUAUUUCCUAUCAAGUGAGUUCUCCAAACAGCAGUUUCAUGUGAGUAGGCACUCUAGAGAGAUUUCUGCUAUUAUCUCUGCUUUUUGUUUUCAUAAAUCUCUUGCCUUUUAUAUUUAUAGUUUCCCCAUAUAUUCUCCUGUCAUUUCCCAAGUCUCCUCUACCUUCCUGAGCAACUGGUUCUCACCUCUCAGUUUUCUGUUUUGGAUACCAUCUAUCUUGCACCCAGGAGGGCCUCAGUAAGUACCUGUUGAAUAACUGAGCACACUGAGUUUGCAACAUAGGAAAAUAACACACGUGUAAGCCAAAAAAAAAAAAAAAAAAAAAAGAGUACUGCUUUCUUAAAGGUAGAAAGUGUAUUACAUGUUAUAUACCAUAACAUAUUUUGAACCGUAUGAACUUGAUGAGGUAAAAGUCUUGUCUCUAAUCAUGACCUUCAACCAUAUGUUGUCAAUUUCCCUAUCCUAUAUAUCAGAUAGAUAUGGGAAUAAAUCCAUAUAUGUCGGGUCACUUUCAAUGAUAAUAAUGGUAUAAUUGGUCUGAUUCUGGUAAUAAUGAUUUAUGUCUGUAAAUAAAAUUCUAGACCAAGUCUAAACUUUGACUUUGUUUCCAAUUCAAAGCCUUUCCUUUCCUCACAUUGUCAUGCCUCUUCCAUCUGCUACUCCUCCUUCAGCUAUCCCCUCUUUUUGCUCUGUCACUGAGGGCAUUCGACAUUUUCAAGGUGGAAAGAUCAAUUGGGUCUUAUGUUCACAUAUACUCCAGACUCCUGGAGACCUUUGUUGGGCUUUCCUGCCAUGCACUACUUGGAUGGCAGCUCUGGGUUUGGCCCAGUUUCAUGCAGCUCUGCAUUCAACUGAGGGAUGAGAUGUCACCUCUUCUUCUCAUAGGAACCCUACACUCUCUAGGGAGCUUUCUUGGAGCACCCUUCAUGUGGCUUGGGGCAGGGGGUCGAGACUCCUUCCCCUCUCCUGUGGCUCAGCUCCCCAACUUUUUGACAUCAUUGUACACACUGGAUAUGACAAUAUUUAGAAGGCAAGUUAGGGUAAAAAGAUAAGGCUACUUGAGGCUGUUGGGUGCAGUGGUUGGGCAAUCAAGGCCCUGGGUGGCCUGCCCAAGGGCGGAGAGGACCAAUAUCUGAAUCUACUCCCAACCAAUUCUGGACCUUUUGAAUGCAUUUGAGAAGCUCAGUCCUACUACAGAGAAAGGGGGAACUACAGCAUUCUCUCUCUAGCCUACAACUCCCUACACAAAGAAUUCUAAUCCAUUCCUGAAAAAUCUAUCUUAUUCUUCAUAUACCUGGAGGAUGAAAUUUACUAGUUAGGGGAAGAGCAGCCUGCCACUUGAGAGACAGAUGUCUGCCUGGUAGUGGUUUCUCUGGUGCCUUGAGAACAUGGGGAAAUUUAAUGUCUAUUGUCCUCAGCACUGGGGCUUUAGAGCAGUGAUAAGGGAGCAGGAAAAGUCCCUUUCAACACCCUGGGACACUGAAAGAGAAACUCUUAUGGAUAUUUAUGCCUACCUACAUUUGUGUGGAUUUCUGGAAACACAAAUAGAGCAAUAAUUCCUUAUUGUCUACGACCAUACAAAAGGUGAAUUAAUUCAGACAUUCUCCUAGUGAACAUAAUUUUAAUGUUUUGUUUAAUAUUUGAUAUACUCAUUUCUCAUUGCAAAACAGCAGGGCCUGUGUACCUGUAUGCAUCCAAGGUAGCCAUGCUGUGAGGCUACGUGAACGGCACUGUUGCCAUCCUGGUCUACUUCAUCCAACGAGAUGCCCUGUUCUUGCAUAAACUGAAGAAGCCACAGAAGAAUCUUUUCCUAUAAACACAAAGACAGUUGGAAUUCAUGUAAUAUCUUGCAGAGAAGUUAGAUAAAAAGACAGAGGAAAACAAUACCCUAAUUUGUGAAGCUUAGGUAAAACCAUGCUUACCGUAGCAAGAGAAAAUUCUCAUUCAGAUGUGAAUUGAAAAUCCUUGAAUCUCUGACUGAAAUGAAUGAAAGAGGACGGCAUAGAGAAUUUUAAGAGCAGGAAGCUCCCUUGGAAGCGCUCUUAUUUUACUUAUCUAUUCUAUAGAUGGGAAAAUAGGUUUGCAGUAAGAUUGAGUGCCUCAUCCAAGGCACACAGCUAGACAGAUCCAAAGUUGGAACUAGAAUCCAUGUCUUUUGAUUCCAAGGCUCCCAAGGCAAUGUUCUUGCUGCUGUGUUAUACUGCCUGUAGGCUUCAAGAAUGUUACCAUAAAACCUUGAAUUGUUGAGAAUUAGCUUCUACUCUUAAGUUUAUAAUUCUUCAACCAUGCCUUUAUAAUCCAUACCUCCUGCAAUCAACAGGCUUAUAAAAAACAGGUAAAUACGUUAAGUUGCCAAGUGUAAGAUAAGUUCAUUGAAAUAAAACCAGGACCCUCUUGAUUUUCUGACCAAGUGUUGGUGGUGUCUUAAGGUAAAGAUUUCCCUUCUUUCAUGUUAAAGGAAGGGAACCAAAAGCUUGGAACGCAAACCUUUCAAAAGCAAAGACAUAGAGCAGUCACAGUAUGUGUUGUCAUAAUCUGUUUGCAUUUUACCCACUGAGUGUUUUGUGGUAUUUUCAUGUUAUGCUUGGCCUUUGGAGAAAGCAGGGGGAUGGGAUUUCACUGUUUUAAAAUAGAAGAUUAAAUAUAAAGUUAAAAAAAUAUGAGAGUGGUAAAAACAACAGCAUGAAGUUUAGUGGGUGGAAUUUGACAUUUAAAAAGAUGAUCAUGUGUUUGAAAUAACCUUGAACUUCUUUCUUCUUAGCCUUUUAAAGGAUUUUUUUUUCCAGUUGUUUGCUCCGACUGCUCAUGAACUUUUAUACUUUUCUGGAUUAAAUUUGCCUUCAUCUUCUGAACAUGCCAACUAAUCUGCUAAAGGAAUGUUGGAUAAAAACAGCCAAAUCUUUUAAUGUUUCACCCCUUAUGUUGGGGAACAGGGCACUGUUUAUGAAGGUAUUUGUGACAUCAGGGAGAGACUGAACAUUUGCACCACACUUUUUCUAAAUGAGCACCAGGGAGUAAGACCCCUAAAGAGCAUGAUGAGAACAAUGUAAUCUAUGCCUACAGCCUUCUAAGAAGGCAUCCCAGAAAGCAGGGUGAGUGUUAACUGCAAAAGGAGACAGACAUGGUAGAAACUGAAACCCUCAAGGGUCCCUAGAGAAUGAGGUAGAAGCAGAGCCUGGAGCUAUGGCUGGGAGUUAGAGGUUGGAUAAGAAUAUGCUGCUAUGCUUAGUCCUCUUCUUCAAAGGCAAACCUAGAGAAAAUUGGAGCUGAUGUUUGGACCACAGCAGGUGAUGUUUCAUUUGCAUAACGUAAAAGCAGUUCCUUUGUUUUUUUUCUAAUUAGGUAGGGGAAAAACACUGGAUUACUUUUAAUUGGACAUAGAUGAUUAUAGCAUACGAUUCUUAACUCCUUAAAAAUCUGGAUGAAUGGAAGUAUCUCAGGAUAAAAGACAUAACCAACUGGUUGAGGUUAAUGGCUCAGACAUGGAGGCUGCAAGAGGAUAGAUUAUGGUACCUCUACCAGUGAAACAGAUGGACCCACCAUAGGCAGAACAAAUUCUCUUCAAUGGGUCAUUCUCAAACUUGUGGUGAUUUGGUUUGCUUCAAGAUAUUAAAUCAUGGACUCCUAAACAUGUGGAGGGGAGAGAUUUUAAAGAAUCAUCCAAUUCAAAAAGCCUUAUUUUAUAAGUCAGAAAACUGAGGGAGCGGACAAUGAUAUACAGCAAGUCCUCAUGUGAUGGCAUGGACAGAUUCUUGGAAAUUGCGACUUUAAGCAAAAUGAAGUAUAAUGAAACUAAUUUUACCAUUUUAGUUCCUAUGACAUAUUUCUGGUCACAAAAACAGCACCAAACUUCUAAAUAAAGACCAAACACUUCUAAAGUGAAACAUUGAAACAAAUAUGAGCUAUACAUACAUUUAAGAAAGACUAAUACAAACAAGUAAGAUAAUUAUUUAUCUGAUCAUUCCAGUCAGGGUUUGGGUGGCUGGAGCCCAUCCUGGAAGUUCAGAACACAGGGCGGGAACCAUCCCUGGACAGGACACCACCUUAACACAGGGUGCACUCACACCCACACACAUUCACUCAUGGUGGGACAACUGAGACACAGCAGUUCACCUAAUGUGCACAUCUUUGGGACGUGAGGAGAAACUGGAGUACCCAGAGAAAACCCACACUGAGAUGUGGAGAAUGAGCAAACUCCACAGGGACAGUGGCCCUGGCUGGGAACUGGUUUUUUUCUUCUCAUCAACAUUAUAAGAAGAUGAUGUUGAAAGAAACCAGGUUAAUGUAAGGACCUGCUGUAUUCCUUGAUAUUCUAGAGACUUCUUUCUUUAGCAAGUAAAGCCUGGAGGAGUUCAAGAUACUGAGAAGCAUUUUACAUGUAUCUUCUUGUUGGAUGUAAUUCCAUAUUUCCAGGCCCCAAUAUUAUGGGGGGUAUGUCUAUUCCACAUACACAAAAAAAUGCCCUUUAUUAAAAUCACAGUGCUUUAGUUUUAGUAGUGGGGUUAUAGGCAAUGGAAUACUGCCCCUCAUAAGAGUGGGAAUGUUCCCAUUGUGGAAAUCUGUGGGGAGAGUCUAGGACCUCGGACUUUUCAGGGGCUUGAUAAUCUGGGAGAACAAGACAUACAUGGUCUGUGUGAGCCAAAAGUUACCUGGGCCCCUGAGGGGGCCUCCAAGUCAGGUUCAACCUAUAUUGUUACAAUAACUUGCCUUUCCUUCUUAGGAAGGCAUGGAUAACUCUUCUUCCUUACAAUGAAAGAUUCUAACCAAUUCAAUAUGCAAGAUUUACAUAAAGAAAGAACCAUUAUUUGACUGUUCAGAACAAGGUUUUGCCUAGCACCUCAAAUCCAGUCUUGGGUUUUAUGUUGGACAAUUUAAGAAUAAGCAUAAGAAUUUAAAAUAAGAAGUGCGAUUGGCCUGUCCACUGAGAUAUGACAUGUAAACCAAAAUCUUCCAUUAUACAAUGCAGAGAAGUACUCCCCAAAAUGACGGAUUGACUAUAUACCUUGUCUUUUAACAACAGACAUUUAGGGUUUUUGAGGGGGACAUGGAGAUGGCUAGAGUCUCUGGUUUUGGUAAAAGCAUAUUUAAUAUCUGCUUACAGACAAAUCCUGCCCUGAUUCUGGGGACCAUGCCUGUGGAGAUGCACAGUUCUACCAUUCAAAAUGACUAUCUGAAAAUACCUCCUAAGAAGGACAAAACUUUUCUUCAGCCAAGAGGGCACUUGUUAAUAUGAUUAGAUACAUAUGUAAUGGUGUCCCCCUCCCCUCUUAGCCCCUCAGUGUGUGUUCUCUCAGUCAGUGUAUCUACAUGCAGGAGACAUUAAAGGAUGGAUGUAACUUCAGACCUUCAUUUCCCCAUAAGUAUUGCUUUCAGAGAAUAUCUAAUGAAGUCACAUGGAUGAAGAUUUCUGUAUCAUUUGUUUCCCAGAAUGGCUCUCCAACUUACAUUUCAUCAUCCACCCACAUAUCCACUUAUCCAUUCAACCUUCAUGUACUGACUGAAAACUCCUCUUAUAUAGUUUUCCUCAGCAGUUUCCUCUUCUGGGGAUUUUCUGCUGUUUUGGUAACCUGUUUUAAUGUUGUAUUUUAUGUGUUCCUAAGGGCAAUGCAAGUUGUUUAAAGAGGCAAUUAUCUCAUGUGAUUUAUGAGAUUUGCUGGACAAAUUCCAAUAAAAAAUGUACUUGAGAAGUAUGUCACAGGUUUAUUGCUGGUAUCAAUAAAGUCUCUAUAGUGUGUGGCAAUCCAUGUUUUAAAAGGAGUUAGCUUUGUGAUCAUAGAUUAUCAAAUCUAAUAUGCCACCAAUUAUAAGAUUUAUUCCAGUUUUUGAGAUGUAAAAAUGUAAAAAAUAAAGGUCAGCAAUUAUUUUAUAAUUUCAUGUAUUGUAAGAUAUAUGUAGAAUCAAAAGACGGUAAAAUGUGAAAUAAAGUGCACCUAAGAAUUGAUUAAAUAGGUUAUGGCCUUAAUAAUUCCUUUGCAAGUUUCUCCUAUACAUUACUAAUGGUAAAAUAAGUAAACUGAAUAAUAUUGAUAGGAAUAAAAACAAUAAGUUGGAGGAGAUUCAAUAGUGAUAACAGCCGACAUUCAUCUAGUGCCUAGUAUGGGUUGGGCAAUGUGGCUUUUCUCACUUAGUCCUCAGAUUAACACUGUGAGGAAGGUUCUAUUAUCUCCAUUUUACAUAUGAAGAAACUGAGGUCCAGGGAGACCUAUUCUUAUAUUUUCUCUCUUUUUAAAAAAAAAAAAAAUUAAAAUAUCUAACCCAUUGAACUAGUAAGUGGUAAGGUUAGGAUGACAAUGGAGACAGUUUGCUGUAUGAACCAAUGUUCUUCAUGACUCUGUUUUCUGUCUUUUGAGUAUGGAUAUCCACAAUUGCGCAUCCCCUCAUGACCCCUGACUCUGUAAAGGACAUGCUCCCUUUGUGCCCCUUGAGUCAAAGAAAUCACAGUUAACUGCCUGUCAGUCUGUGGGUUUGUAGGGCUCUGUGUCAGUUAUGCUUUGUCAAGAUCAGAACUUGGAGAGCAGAUGCGUGUGUGCUAAUCAAAGACUCUUCUAUUUUGCUUUCAUCUGUGAUCGCAGCACUUUCAGUACUGUUGACUUACUUCCCUAUGACAGCAAAACAAUAAAGGCAGGGGAAUAUUUUUCCUUUUUAAAGUAAAUUGUGGAAAAACAACAAUAACACAGCCUGCGGGAACACCCCCCUCACCAGCAUGUCUACCACUGCUCAUGACCAUUUGCAAGAAUUGCUGAGCCUUUUCUUUUUUCAAAAAGUGCCCUUAAAAAAAUCUGUAUUAGGGCAAAUAUUUAAACUACAGAAAAUAAUAAAAACAGUGUAGGUAAAGGUGCUGUUAGUAAAUGUUCAAUGCCAUGAUGCAGGUUGUUUUCGUAGAAGAAUCUCAUGACUAAAAGUCACAUGAAUGAUUCAGAAACAAAAGGAAUCACAGGUUUGAUGUUGAAAGUAACAUAGAGCCCACUGGACUAAUAACCAGCGCAGAGCAGGCAGAGGCUCCCAAGCAGUGGAGGGCAGGAAGCUGUGCUGGGAGAGCCUGGAUGAGACAAUCUGAACCUUCAUGUUUGAAUAAAACAGCCCAAGUUACACAGGCAGUAGCUUUGAAUUGAGAUAAUUCCAUCUCAAUUGUUUUGCCAGCAACAUCUUUCUCAAG
This 10005-nucleotide long non-coding RNA is filed under the name Homo sapiens (human). Its description in RNAcentral is "non-protein coding lnc-LOX-4:12". Lineage: Eukaryota; Metazoa; Chordata; Mammalia; Primates; Hominidae. The record is from RNAcentral.